RNAcentral lists this ribosomal RNA (454 nucleotides) under uncultured bacterium. RNAcentral describes it as "bacterial SSU rRNA". It matches the Rfam family "Bacterial small subunit ribosomal RNA", at positions 340 to 786 of the family's 1533-position model. The record is from RNAcentral.
UACGGAAGGCAGCAGUGGGGAAUAUUGCACAAUGGGCGCAAGCCUGAUGCAGCCAUGCCGUGUGUAUGAAGAAGGCCUUCGGGUUGUAAAGUACUUUCAGUCGUGAGGAAGGUGUUAAGGUUAAUAACCUUAGCAAUUGACGUUAGCGACAGAAGAAGCACCGGCUAACUCCGUGCCAGCAGCCGCGGUAAUACGGAGGGUGCGAGCGUUAAUCGGAAUUACUGGGCGUAAAGGGCACGCAGGCGGUUAAUUAAGUUGGAUGUGAAAUCCCCGGGCUUAACCUGGGAAUGGCAUUCAAGACUGGUUAGCUAGAGUCUUGUAGAGGGGGUAGAAUUCCAUGUGUAGCGGUGAAAUGCGUAGAGAUGUGGAGGAAUACCGGUGGCGAAGGCGGCCCCUGGACAAAGGCUGACGCUCAUGUGCGAAAGCGUGGGGAGCGAAACAGGGAUUAGAUACC